RNAcentral lists this unclassified non-coding RNA (253 nucleotides) under uncultured bacterium. RNAcentral's name for it is "contains 16S-23S intergenic spacer region". It matches the Rfam family "Bacterial small subunit ribosomal RNA", at positions 524 to 776 of the family's 1533-position model. The record is from RNAcentral.
UACGAGGGGUGCAAACGUUAUUCGGAUUAACUGGGCGUAAAGGGUGUGUAGACGGUUGAUUAAGUUCGUUGUUAAAGAUCUCGGCCUAACCGAGAGAUUGCGAUGAAAACUAAUCGGCUUGAGGGUGAAAGAGAGAAGUGGAAUUCUCGGAGUAGCGGUAAAAUGCGUAGAUCUCGAGAGGAACACCGAUGGCGAAGGCAGCUUCUUGGUUCACUCCUGACGUUGAGACACGAAAGCGUGGGUAGCAAACAGG